AGCAGCCGCGGUAAUUCCAGCUCCAAUAGCGUAUAUUAAAGUUGUUGCAGUUAAAGCUCUAGUUGAAUUUCGGGAUCAAUAUGUUGGUCGUGCCUCGGUACGUACUAGCUUAUUGGUUCUCCUUUCUGAAGAACCAUGAUGUCAUUUAUUUGGUGUCGUGGGGAAUCAGGACUGUUAUUUGAAAAAUUAGAGUGUUUAAAGCAGGCUCACGCUUGAAUACAUUAGCAUGGAAUAAUAAAUAGGACGUUUGAUUCUAUUUUGU
Molecule: ribosomal RNA, 262 nt
Filed under: uncultured Glomeromycotina
Lineage: Eukaryota; Fungi; Glomeromycota
Description: partial small subunit ribosomal RNA
Rfam family: Eukaryotic small subunit ribosomal RNA
Source: RNAcentral